UGCCAUCAAACCUGCUCAGUGCAUUUAACUAUUUGGUGAAUUUAUUCUUUCAACUCCUUUGCGCAGGGAGGAACUGCUCCACUUGUUUAUUUGUAUAGGAUAUUUAGCAUAGAUUGAUUUAUAGUUGAAUUCAAGGCCCUUAAUUGAGCUGGUUGACAAAAAUAGGAUUCUUGUAGCCAGCCCCAAGUAGUUGGGACGAGGCUUUAUUUUGUUGAGUUGAGUUAGAGUUCUAGAUCGAUGUAGACAUGAGGUUCUUUGAAAUCUCAUUGUGACCCAUUCUUUUGAAAUUGUUUGUAAUUAUAUGGCCCCAGAAUUUGACCUUUUGAAUCAAUGAUAUGACAUUGUUUGUGCUGUUGAUGCCUUAUCUAACAAUAUUGUUGUGUGGACUAUUUCUUGCCAAAUUCAAGUUGGCGAUGCGCAGUCGAUUCAAUAAUCUGGUGAGCUUAUCCUUUGAGUUCAUCUCUGUUGCUAACAGUUAAGUUGAAAUUGAUUAAUUGCUUGUGAUGUUUGUUUGCCUCCAUGAGUAGAAGGAUUGGACUAUGAGUGAGGUGGACCCUACUCGUAACAUGUUUGGUUAGAAAAGUUAUAAGGGGAUUAACACUACAAUAGGAGUAGUAGUCCACCACUAUGGGUGGAUUAGCAAAGAUGGGUGAGAGGUGGGAUUGAUGGUGAAAAAAAAACCAUUUUGUCCCUUAGUUUAAAUGAUACUACAAUGAAAGAAGGGUAAUUAUGUAAUUUGAUAUGUUUAUUCCCAAUCAAUUAAUACCACCACACUACUACAAAAACACACUUUAUUAUCUUAUAUUUCUAAUUUAAUACCACUACAUUAUUAAUCUCCUCACUCAAUUUCACCGCACUCAUAAUUCUAUCUAAUCUAAUCUAAUCUAUCAAAAUAAUGUGGCUAGGAAUUUUUAAUCCAUUGAUUGAUUUUUCAUAUAUAUAUAUAUAGCCUUCGUUUGGGAUGUAGGUUGGCUUUUUGACUUCUUGACUUUUUGGCUAUUUUAGCUUAGGGCUAAAAAGCCUCGUUUGGGAUGUGUUUUUUGGUUUUUUUUGACUUUUAUGAGAGAAAAAAUUAAAUAAUUAUGGUUUAGAUGUAACAUUUUAUCUUAUUGACUUUUUAAUUUAUUUUAUCUUUUUGUGAUUAAAAUAAUUCUGACCCAACCCAAACCUUCGUGCCAACCAAUGCAAUGUCUUGUGUGGUCACUACUUUCUACAAAAUAGCAGAACGAGAAUGACAUCAAGGGACUCAAAAACAUUCUAUGAAUAUGUUGAUAUUCUGCUGGUUAGGUUUGGCGCUUAGUGAGAGAGGGGUAGCGUUAAAUACAGUUAUCCGCUAUCUAAUACACUUACUAAGAGAGGGGUAGUGUUAAAUACAAUUCUUUGCUAUCUAAUGCUGGAGUCCGGAUCCUCUGCCUGUUUUCCUGCGGCGCUUCCCUACCAUGGUCCCAAUGACGUCGUUUUGACGUUUCCCCCCCUCCCCAUUUUUGUUGAGAGCUAAGCCAUACACCACAACAACGGUGAUGAAGCGAGGCCACGGAGAAUCAAAAAAAAAAAUCUUUUGAAAGUAAGAAAAAGACCAUUGAAGCUGUUGAGUGAUGAUUUACUUGUUGGGUUUCCCUUGUUUUCUUCUCCCUAAGCUCUCAAACAUCUCUAAAUUCUGGUUUAUUUGUGUGAAUUUUAAAGCUUCGUUCUUCCCUUUUCAAAACAUUGUUUCAAUCAACAAUCUCUUUGGUUCCAGCGAAGCUUGAUCGCCACUGCGAGACACAGCGACAAACUGAUCUAUAAAUUAUAGAUCUGUGAGACAAACCGAUCUGAGAGACGGCGUCGAUGCAAGUGGAGCUCAGAUAUUGGAGAUUUGACGCGGCGGAGAUCUUGAAGCGGCUGUGAAUCAAACGACCCCCAUUUACUCUAUUGUUCUAUUCCCUUCUUCUUCUCAAUAUCCUAUAUAUAUAGACUCUGUUGAGUCUUCUAGCUCCAUUUGGGACAACAGAGCUCUUCACUGAAUCUAUGAUCUUAUAUAUAUAUACAUAUGUAAACAUACGCGUGUGUAUAUAUAUAGAUGAUUGGGUUUGAAGGGUUGGUUUGUUUUGUUGAGAAAACUGAAAGGAAAUGAGUUCAGGCUUUUACACUUAGUCAAAAUGAGUUCAGGCCUUUUCAAAUGAGGGAAGAAAAUAGGGGCAAAAGGAAAUGAGAGAGGAAAAUAAAAAACACCAAAAUGACGUCAUUUUGGACCAUGGUAGGGAACCCCCGCAGGAAAACACGGCAAAGGAUCCGGACUCUCUAAUGCUGUGCAAAGCUCUCUCACGUUACAAGGUGAGCAAGCACAUGACCAGGCCCAGAGUUGACGGCCUAUGUUCUAGUUUUUGUCAACUAACCUUUGCACCUCUCGAGGAGGUUCUGGAUGAAGUCAAGUUUUGUGGCUAUUUUUUUGUAAUCAUAUUAGACUAUGUUUGUGUGUUAAGUUGUGGGCAAGAUUUUUGGCAUGUACGCCUAAGUGUGGUAUGUAAAUAUUAUACAUUUUGACUUCACUUGUAAGUUUAUAAAAUGUUUAAGCUAUUAUGUCCCAUAUAUGUCAUAACAGCUCAUUGGACCUCGUAUAUUUUGUAUAUUUGCUUCCGCAGUCCCUAACUAUAUGUUAAUCUGUCAAGAGGCCUUUGGUAAACCAAGGAUUACUGGCCGGUUACGAUGCUAAACCCAUAGGGGCGGGUUUGGGUUGUGACAAAAUUGUUGCACAUAGAAUUGAUUUGGGUUAAGUAGCUUCUUCAACAAGGUGCAAACAUUUGUUGACAUUGGGAAUUUGAAGAUGUGGCAUUGAUCAUUCACGAGUGUGGUAUGGAGAAAAGAUAGUGAAAUUAAUAUCCUUAUUUACUGAUCUUUGAUGUUGACAAGUUGCCAAUGUUUGUGGAUCAUUUAUUUAUAUUUGAAAGUGAUUUUAUUUGACCAAAUCUCUGGUGCCUGGAGCUUGUCUGGAAGAGUAUGGACUAGCUCAUAACUUGUUUGUGUGUGGGGUUUUUUAAUACAGUGUUUCUUAUGAUUAAGGGCUAUUUUGGGAAGAUGGUUAAAAGCUGUUUUUUGUGAGAGAGGGAAGUGGGUUAUAAUCUGGGAAGUGGAUUCUAACCCACUUCCCAAAAGGCCCCUAAGUCAUUCUAAUAUGCUGAAUAAUCCAGUAGUUUUCAAUAAUUCCUUUCAUUAAAGUUGUAUUUUUCUAGCAGACUUUGUUACAUAUUCUUGACUAGUGGGGCAGUUGUAGGACUAAAGCAUGAGUAUUGAAUCAGGGGAAUUGGAGCUUGAUAAUCAGUGAGUAAUAUGUUGUAGUCAAAGUUUCUUCUUGGUAGUUUCUUUCUGCAGCUGAUGUCUCCAAUGACCAGAUUAGUUUUUAGUUGUUUAAUUUGGAACCAAAUAAGACAUGGUCUCCUGGUGGCAUCAUGUUCUCAUUUUCUAUUGGAAAAAUAUGAUGUGUUCCAGAAGGAAAAAGUACAAUAAAAGAGUAGGGGACUUCUUGAAGAAAGAGGAUAGUUUGUCAAGGGGAAAAUAAUAGUGGUACAAAGAUUGGUGGGGGUGGGAGAGAAACAAAUAUUGAAGUUAUUGUGAUGUUUGAUAGUAACAUUUAUGUCAUGAAAGAUAAAAGAAUGGCGUUUGGAGAAGAUUAUUUUAAUUGUUCUGAAAAAUGUAAUAGAUAUGCUAGGAUUUGCGCAUGAACAGUAAUCUUGCUGUAAUAAAUUAAUUAUGAUGGAAAUUUCCACCUUACAAUUUUUGUGGUAUUGUGUUUUAGGGCAAAUGGAUUGUAAGGUUGUUGUAAUUAAUUGCAACCCAUUUUUCUUUAUUUUUCUGUAGGUGAAUAUCAUUGCCCAAUAUUGAACAAAUUUUUUACUGAAUUUACACACAUUGUUAUUGUAAGGACUACAAGAAAUAUUUUCUGCUACGUGGUUUGUUUGCUUAUUUAUUGAUCAUCAAUGCUAGUGGUCUUUCCUCCUAAGUUCUUUAUGUGUAAUUUCUAUGUAAGUGAUCUACACCUCUUCCAUUUACCUUUGUUUCAUAGGCAAUCAAAGAAUUAAACAUCAAAACCAAGAAUUGGGAGCUUCUCACUGAUGAAACAUUCACUAGAGAAGAUCUUAUAACAAUUCAGAAUCCUAAUGCACUUGAUAGGAGGGUGGGUUCUCGUGGAUUUUGAUCAUGUAAAAAAUAGUUUGAAACUCGAUGAUGUAGAAUUGAUGAAAAUGAGCUCAGAUCCAACCUAUAACAUAAAUGUUUCUGGGGAUAUCAGAUAGAUGCUGAAGGAGCUUGGAACUGAGAUAGGAAAAGAAAUUGCAUUGCAUGAGGGAGAAGGAAACAAGGCACAAAAAAGUACCAAUAUGUAUGCCUGCUGUCUCCUAAAAGAUGUGCCCAUAAUUCUCUGGUAGAUAGUUCCAAUUGCUACCUUGUUUGUCAUCUUUUGGAGGUAGACACGUGACGGUCUUCUCUACUAUUGUUUCUUUGCAGGAAGAAGAAGAUGAGCCAGUGAAAGCAAAAGAUGAGAAUAAUGCUGGACAAGAUUGGGUCAUGGUACAGCAAUGCAGGAAAAGGAGCAAGUGAAUCUGGAUCUGUAGGUGGUGGUGUUGGCAAGUACUUGAAGGUGAGAAAUGUACAGGCUGAAUCUGCUGCUACUGACUGAUAUGCAGGCAACUGCUGUAGCAAAGAAAAAGAAAUUAGGUGUAGCAAUGAGGGAAUGUAAAGACUUUUCUUCUUGGUAAGGUUUUCCCACGUUGUUUACCAUAUUUCAGACUUGAACGUGACCUAGAGGUGGUGUAGCCUAGCAGUGAAACAUGAUCGUUUGAGUGAGAAAAAGGAAAAGAAAGAGAGAUUUGGAAUUACUCUGUUCAUUACAUUUGUAUUUGUUGGUUGUACAAUACCAUGCAUCCAGUCAGAAAUUCUAUUAGAAAUUUUUAUGAGAAAAUACAGAUUUUUUUUUCUCCUCUCA
This is a non-coding RNA of Camellia sinensis, 4957 nucleotides long. The record is from RefSeq and is a predicted model, not a curated record. Lineage: Eukaryota; Viridiplantae; Streptophyta; Magnoliopsida; Ericales; Theaceae.